This 495-nucleotide ribosomal RNA is filed under the name uncultured bacterium. RNAcentral describes it as "partial 16S ribosomal RNA". It matches the Rfam family "Bacterial small subunit ribosomal RNA", at positions 28 to 523 of the family's 1533-position model. The record is from RNAcentral.
GAUGAGCGCUGGCGGCGUGCUUAACACAUGCAAGUCGAACGAAGCACCUUGAUUUGAUUCUUCGGAUGAAGAUCUUGGUGACUGAGUGUCGGACGGGUAAGUAACGCGUGGGUAACCUGCCUCAUACAGGGGGAUAACAGUUAGAAAUGACUGCUAAUACCGCAUAAGACCACAGCACCGCAUGGUGCAGGGGUAAAAACUCCGGUGGUAUGAGAUGGACCCGCGUCUGAUUAGGUAGCUGGUGGGGUAACGGCCUACCAAGCCGACGAUCAGUAGCAGACGGGAGAGGGUGACCAGCCACAUUGGGCCUAGGACACGGCCGAAACUCCUACGGGAGGCAGCAGUGGGGAAUGUUGCACAAUGGGGGAAACCCUGAUGAAGCGACGCCGCGUGGGCGAUGAAGUAUUUCGGUAUGUAAAGCUCUAUCAGCAGGGAAGAAGAUGACGAUACCUGACUAAGAAGCACCGGCUAAAAACGUGCCAGCAGCAGCCGCCG